UCUCUCUCACACUAUAACUUAUCAGGUGACCAUACGACACUUUAUGUUGGUUUUUAGUAUGUCUAGUAAACAAUCCGAGGUGACGUGGCAGAAUGAGUGUGUCUCACUCAUAUUUGAGCGCUUGAAGGCCCUUAAAAUUAUAUUUUUACAUUAGUUUUUUGUCAUGUGGAUCCCGCCUUCUUCUGCUUCCUACCUCAAAAUAUCUGGUGACUUUUUCCACCAUUUUCACAAGUUUUAAGCUUCACAAACGCUCAAUUCCAUAUAUCAACAGAAAAUUAAGAAGCCCAAAAUUCUUAAUGUUACAUUAAUUUUUAUUAUCGCAUUACUGGUCAUGCUCAAAGACAAGAAAGAUCCUCAAAAUGGGGUCACCAAAAAUAUCUCUGUUACGCAACAAUCCAAAUUUAACACCACAAAAUAAUGUCCAUCCAUUUCGCCCAUUAAUGGAAAAUCUUCAAUCUUCGGCAUCGACGGUGAUAAUGAAACCGAGGUUGUCUAAAAGAAGCUUAUAAAAUGAAAUUGGGGCUGCCCAAAUUUCACCUUCGUCCUUCUUAUUCAUCACUUUAAAAAAAAAGAGUAAUUUCCAUGUCUUUACUUCUGCCAUGAAUUCUGGUUAUAAAAAACAAUAAAUUCCAACACUUUUAUAUUUGGAGAGUGGGCAUGAAAAUAAUUUCAUACCCAUUCUCUGAUUCUUUUGAUCACCACAAAAUAGUUCAAAUUCUAAGUUUGGGAGAUGGAUGGUUGACGUUCUGGUGGCUGAAGGUGAGGAAGAAUGAGCGUGGAGGUGGUAUUUUUGGUGAAAUUUUGGAUGAAGAAGACAAAUAAUAAAAGGGGUGAAGGGACGGUGGGAUAAGUUCUCAUGAAGAUGAAGAUUAGGUCAGGGGUGGGGGGUGGGGGGCUAAGGGUUUUCUCAACUUAAAAAAUGGUUAUUAUUAUUAUUAUUUUAAAAAAUACAUGUGUCGUUUGCUGAUUUGUUCAUUUGCCACGUCAUUUGCUUUUGUAAUUCACGCAUGUGACCUGCUGCAUUCGGGUGUCCAUGAGACACUUAAACCAGCAUAAAGUGUCUAGAUGGUCACCUAGUAAGUUGGAGUGUGAGAGAGAUAUCUGGGACCAACUUUAGGUGUUUGUUUAUGUAUUCUGCCAAAUAAUAAUGGAUUAUAACUACUGAGUUGGCUCCAAUUGUUAUAAAUGAGUUACCUGAUUUAUUUAUAUUAUUUGUUAUUGUUACUAAUAUUGCGUACAGGCUAAAGUAAGUGAACCGCCUUAGCCUCGUCACUACUUCGUCGAGGUUAGGCUCAGCACUUACCAGUACAUGAGGUCGGUUAUACUGAUACUAUACUCUGCACUUCUUGUGCAGAUUUCGGAGUAGGUCCCAGCGGCGUACCAUAGACUUGCUCGGAUUUCAGCUACCAGAGGAGACUUGAAGUAUAACUGCACGGCGUCCGCAGUUUUGAAGUCCUCAUCUACUUUACUUUGGCUGUGUGUUUGUUCCAAACAACUUUAUUUUAUUCAGACCUUUAUUUGUAUUAUUCUAGAAGCUCGUGCACUUGUGACACCAAUUCUGGGAUGGUAUUUAGACACCGUUAGUUUUAUGAAUUAUUCACUAUAUUUCUCACCUUACUUCCGCAUUUAUUUUU
Molecule: long non-coding RNA, 1634 nt
Filed under: Nicotiana tabacum (common tobacco)
Lineage: Eukaryota; Viridiplantae; Streptophyta; Magnoliopsida; Solanales; Solanaceae
Description: long non-coding RNA (NTAB_LNC018415)
Source: RNAcentral